Molecule: non-coding RNA, 57 nt
Organism: Ovis aries (sheep)
Lineage: Eukaryota; Metazoa; Chordata; Mammalia; Artiodactyla; Bovidae
Source: Rfam
UAGCUCAGUUGGUAAAGAAUCUGCCUGCAAUGCAGGAGAUCCAGGUUCGAUUCCUGG